RNAcentral lists this ribosomal RNA (253 nucleotides) under uncultured bacterium. RNAcentral describes it as "partial 16S ribosomal RNA". It matches the Rfam family "Bacterial small subunit ribosomal RNA", at positions 524 to 776 of the family's 1533-position model. The record is from RNAcentral.
UACGAAGGGUGCAAGCGUUGUUCGGAAUUACUGGGCGUAAAGGGCUCGUAGGCGGCCAACUAAGUCGGACGUGAAAUCCCCAGGCUCAACCUGGGAACUGCGUCCGAUACUGGAUGGCUUGAAUCCGGGAGAGGGAUGCAGAAUUCCAGGUGUAGCGGUGAAAUGCGUAGAUAUCUGGAGGAAUACCGGUGGCGAAGGCGGCAUCCUGGACCGGCAUUGACGCUGAGGAGCGAAAGCCAGGGGAGCAAACGGG